GCCGGUGUGAUGGAAUUGGCAGACAUAGUUGACUCAAAAUCAUCUGAUAUAUUUAUCGUGUGGGUUCGAGUCCCGCCACCGGCA
This 84-nucleotide transfer RNA is filed under the name Caudoviricetes sp. RNAcentral's name for it is "tRNA-Leu". It matches the Rfam family "tRNA". Rfam says of the family: Transfer RNA (tRNA) molecules are approximately 80 nucleotides in length. Their secondary structure includes four short double-helical elements and three loops (D, anti-codon, and T loops). Lineage: Duplodnaviria; Heunggongvirae; Uroviricota; Caudoviricetes. The record is from RNAcentral.